RNAcentral lists this ribosomal RNA (429 nucleotides) under uncultured bacterium. RNAcentral describes it as "bacterial SSU rRNA". It matches the Rfam family "Bacterial small subunit ribosomal RNA", at positions 355 to 801 of the family's 1533-position model. The record is from RNAcentral.
UGGGGAAUCUUGGGCAAUGGGCGAAAGCCUGACCCAGCAACGCCGCGUGAAGGAUGAAGUAUUUCGGUAUGUAAACUUCGAAAGAAUAGGAAGAAUAAAUGACGGUACUAUUUAUAAGGUCCGGCUAACUACGUGCCAGCAGCCGCGGUAAUACGUAGGGACCAAGCGUUGUUCGGAUUUACUGGGCGUAAAGGGCGCGUAGGCGGCAAUUCAAGUCAUCUGUGAAAUCUCCGGGCUUAACUCGGAACGGUCAGAUGAUACUGCUUUGCUAGAGUGCAGAAGGGGCAAUCGGAAUUCUUGGUGUAGCGGUGAAAUGCGUAGAUAUCAAGAGGAACACCUGAGGUGAAGACGGGUUGCUGGGCUGACACUGACGCUGAGGCGCGAAAGCCAGGGGAGCAAACGGGAUUAGAUACCCACGUAGUCCCUGAG